This 320-nucleotide long non-coding RNA is filed under the name Drosophila guanche. Lineage: Eukaryota; Metazoa; Arthropoda; Insecta; Diptera; Drosophilidae. The record is from RNAcentral.
GAGUGACUGCCAGAGCAAAAGUUGGCACAAAGAUAGCGGAAUAUUGUCGCUGAACAAGAAGUUGCAUAUUUUUGAGCAAAACAGACAAGGGGGCAGAGGGGAAGACCAAACAGCACCACCAUUAAGAGGCCACGACGAGGCCAUAACCAACACCAGACCAAUGUUGUAGUUGGGGUUGCAGUUGCUGUUGUGGGCGGGCUCGAAGCUCAAGCCGCAAAUCGAAUAGUUGCAGCCACAACAUGUUCUGGGUUGCAGGGGUUGCAAAGGAACUCAAACAACGCAUGAAGCAGCUCAAAAAACUCAAAGCACGCAAAGCACUC